This 460-nucleotide ribosomal RNA is filed under the name uncultured bacterium. Its description in RNAcentral is "partial 16S ribosomal RNA". It matches the Rfam family "Bacterial small subunit ribosomal RNA", at positions 338 to 795 of the family's 1533-position model. The record is from RNAcentral.
CCUACGGGUGGCAGCAGUGAGGAAUAUUGGUCAAUGGGAGAGAUCCUGAACCAGCCAAGCCGCGUGAGGGAAGACGGCCCUAUGGGUUGUAAACCUCUUUUGUCGGAGAACAAAACCCGGGACGUGUCCCGGACUGCGUGUAUCCGAAGAAAAAGCAUCGGCUAACUCCGUUCCAGCAGCCGCGGCAAUACGGAGGGAGCAAGCGUUGUCCGGAAUUACUGGGCGUAAAGGGCGCGUAGGUGGGCGCUUAAGUCAGGUGUGAAAACCCCGGGCUCAACCUGGAGACUGCACUUGAAACUGGGUGUCUUGAGGGCAGGAGAGGGAGGUGGAAUUCCUAGUGUAGCGGUGAAAUGCGUAGAUAUUAGGAGGAACACCAGUGGCGAAGGCGGCUUUCUGGACUGUACCUGACGCUGAGGCGCGAAAGCGUGGGUAGCGAACGGGAUUAGAUACCCCUGUAGUC